Molecule: long non-coding RNA, 1067 nt
Filed under: Junco hyemalis (dark-eyed junco)
Lineage: Eukaryota; Metazoa; Chordata; Aves; Passeriformes; Passerellidae
Description: lncRNA (ENSJHYG00000007451.1)
Source: RNAcentral
GCGGGGAUUGCAGGGACGGGGUUAAACCGCGGGUGGGGACGGCACCGCCGAGCCGGGCCGGGACUCGGGGCGGCCCAGGGGACUCAUGGAAAGCGGCGGGACGGGCAGAAGCGGAGCUCGGGGCUGUGACCCGCGAUGGACUCACAGGGCCGGAGCUCGGUGAGGAGCCGGUGCUCGGAGUACCCCGGGCAGCGCACGGCUCCGGGAAUGGCGAGAGGUAAAUAAAGAGCUUGAUAAAAACCGUAUCCAAAAAUCCCGGGAAACGGCGCUGCCUUUUACGGCAGUCGCGAUUUUCGGGUCCUUUUACCACAGUCGCGAUUUACGACAGUCGUGAUUUACGGCACUUCAAUUUGCAGCACUUUAAAAUAAAGUAAAAUAAAAUAAAAUGCUUUAAAAAUAGAAAUAUCAAAAGUAAAAAUAGAAAAACUAAAAACAAAAAUGAAAAAUAUAAAUGAAUUGGAACAAAAAAUGAAAUAAUAGCUGUGAUUUUAUUUUUUUUUAAAUUUUAUUUGGUUUGGGGCUGCCCAGGGUGGGGGAAGGGGUGGGAACCUUUCGAAAGGAUUCAUUGAUUUAUGAUUUAUCAAUUUGCGAUUUAUUACUGCGCGACUCAUUGAUUCACUUUUUACUAAUUGGUGGUUUAUUAAUUUACGAUCUCUAUUACAUUAAAUGGAAACGAGUUGUGAGAACUGCACUAAACUAAAGCAGGUGAGGUUUGGGGUCCCAGGUGAGUUCUCAGGUGAGUUUGGGGUCUCUCAGGUGCCGGGGUCAAGGGCAGGGCGGUGACGCCUCCAGGUGGUUCCCAGGUAUCCCAGGUGUGUCCCAGGUGUCCCAGGUGUGUCCAGCUGUGCCCAGCUGUCCGUCACGCGCAGGGGUCAAAGGGCAGCGCGGUGACGCCCCCGUGCAGCUCCAGCCCCGCCUGUGCCCAGGCCAGCAGGUCCCCGCGGGGGGGGGCGGGGCUCUGGCACCGCGCCAGCGCCGCCACCUCGGGCGGGGCCAGGGCGCGGCCCCACAGGUGCAGCUCGGCCAGGUCCCCCACGAACGCCUGCGAGGCGUCAAAGCGGCCGCCC